AGCAGCAGUGAGGAAUAUUGGUCAAUGGUCGCAAGACUGAACCAGCCAUGCCGCGUGCAGGAUGAAUGUUCUAUGAAUUGUAAACUGCUUUUCUAAGGGAAGAAACCUAUCCUCGUGAGGGUAGUUGCCGGUACCUUAGGAAUAAGCAUCGGCUAACUCCGUGCCAGCAGCCGCGGUAAUACGGAGGAUGCAAGCGUUAUCCGGAUUCAUUGGGUUUAAAGGGUGCGUAGGCGGAUUAAUAAGUCAGUGGUGAAAUCUUGCGGCUCAACCGUAACAUUGCCAUUGAUACUGUUAGUCUUGAAUGCAGUUGAGGUAGGCGGAAUGUGUAAUGUAGCGGUGAAAUGCUUAGAUAUUACACAGAACACCGAUUGCGAAGGCAGCUUGCUAAACUGUGAUUGACGCUGAUGCACGAAAGCGUGGGGAUCAAACAGGAUUAGAUACCCUGGUAGUCCACGCUGUAAACGAUGAUUACUCGUUGUUUGCGAUAUAUUGUCAGCGA
This 499-nucleotide ribosomal RNA is filed under the name uncultured bacterium. RNAcentral describes it as "bacterial SSU rRNA". It matches the Rfam family "Bacterial small subunit ribosomal RNA", at positions 347 to 846 of the family's 1533-position model. The record is from RNAcentral.